This is a long non-coding RNA of Nematolebias whitei (Rio pearlfish), 296 nucleotides long. RefSeq lists it as uncharacterized. The transcript has 2 exons. The record is from RefSeq and is a predicted model, not a curated record. Lineage: Eukaryota; Metazoa; Chordata; Actinopteri; Cyprinodontiformes; Rivulidae.
AGGUUCGGUACAUGAAGAUCAUAGAAAAGAGUGGAUAUCAAGCUCUGCCCUGGGUGCGCUACAUCACUCAGAGUGGAGAUUACCAACUGAGGACCAAUGCAUAAGGCUUUAGAGAUGCUUCCUUCCACAAGAGCGUAACAAUCACUUUCUCUGCACUGAAUGACUCUUAAAACGUCACCUGUUUUAACGUAAUUAUUCUGUUUAAGAGUUUUAUGGAACCUGUUUGAAGAUUGAUUUCAGCGUGUGUUGUGAUUCUACAUCCACAUUAUUUAAAUAAAGUUAUUCCCCUGGAGCUA